GAUGCAUAGCCGAGUUGAGAGACUGAUCGGCCACAUUGGGACUGAGACACGGCCCAAACUCCUACGGGAGGCAGCAGUAGGGAAUCUUCCACAAUGGACGCAAGUCUGAUGGAGCAACGCCGCGUGAGUGAAGAAGGUUUUCGGAUCGUAAAGCUCUGUUGUUGGUGAAGAAGGAUAGAGGUAGUAACUGGCCUUUAUUUGACGGUAAUCAACCAGAAAGUCACGGCUAACUACGUGCCAGCAGCCGCGGUAAUACGUAGGUGGCAAGCGUUGUCCGGAUUUAUUGGGCGUAAAGCGAGCGCAGGCGGAUUGAUAAGUCUGAUGUGAAAGCCUUCGGCUCAACCGAAGAACUGCAUCAGAAACUGUCAAUCUUGAGUGCAGAAGAGGAGAGUGGAACUCCAUGUGUAGCGGUGGAAUGCGUAGAUAUAUGGAAGAACACCAGUGGCGAAGGCGGCUCUCUGGUCUGUAACUGACGCUGAGGCUCGAAAGCAUGGGUAGCGAACAGG
This 506-nucleotide ribosomal RNA is filed under the name uncultured Lactobacillus sp. RNAcentral describes it as "bacterial SSU rRNA". It matches the Rfam family "Bacterial small subunit ribosomal RNA", at positions 278 to 776 of the family's 1533-position model. Lineage: Bacteria; Bacillati; Bacillota; Bacilli; Lactobacillales; Lactobacillaceae. The record is from RNAcentral.